Molecule: long non-coding RNA, 2164 nt
Organism: Neogobius melanostomus (round goby)
Lineage: Eukaryota; Metazoa; Chordata; Actinopteri; Gobiiformes; Gobiidae
Source: Ensembl
CAUUUGAGCAUAGAGGGUACAAUAAUGGCCCCAAGUAGGGACUAUUUGAAUUAAUGCGCAUGAAUACACGAACAACAGUACCAAUGAGGAAGGAUACUGUCGGUAGUGCUUUGGUCUUUUGAUCACUUUCCCGGGCGAGAACACCGGACUUGGACGUCCUCAUGGAGGGACCGGCUUUAAGGGCUCUUUCCACCGAAGAGCUUUUGGAAAAAGUUAUUCAAUCCGGAAUAGAUGUGUCCGAGGAGGAAGCCAAACGAUUCAGGGAAAAUGAGGUGGAUGGAGAGACAAUUGACUGCGGCUUGACAGAAAAUAUGAUCGCUUUUUUGUUCCAAGGCUCUUUCAAAAAACAACUUAAAUUCAAUCAGUUUGUAAACAGUCUUAAGGAGACAGUUUUUACACUCACACUUGAACCUGUGCCACCAGAGGUGCAGCAGUCACCAUCUGGGAGAUCCAGAUUGCCGACAAAUUUUGAAAUCCCAUCAUUCCCUGUAAAUGUACAGAACAAGCUUAAUAACAAAGAACCAUGUCAUAGGAACUCAAAAGACAGACACGUAAUUGUGAGAGUUUUGUAUGAGGCUAUGGCACAAUUCACAAUGUAUCCCACCAAUGCAGAGUAUGUACAAGUGGUAAAAAGGCUCAUCGGGAAAUAUCCUUUCCUCAAAGACAUUGAAGGAAAUGGUUAUCAAACAUGGCACAUGUCAUUAAAACGGAAGUUUAAAAUGGAGCGUGUGCCUUUGGUCCAAUGUGAUGAGGUUCAACAGUUCAAGAGAAAGUUUGGUCAUCAAAAUUCAAAGAAGUCCUGUGGCUCUGCAUCUGUAGCUACAAAACGACAACAUAUGGAACCAAUCGCCCUUGCCGAAGAUGCAACUUCCAUUGAUGCUCACGUGAAGAUUCUAAAUAGCCAGUACCAAAAGAUGAUUCCUGAUCAUGCAAUAGUUCGAGAUCGCAUGCAGCAAACAUUUGUAUGGCGUCAAAAAGAGAUAGCUGAAGGAAUGUCUGUGGAGGAGACUAUGAAGAAGUACCCCUUUUUAAGUACCACAAAUGGACUCACUGAUGAGUUGGAACGUAUCCACCCAGAAGUGAAAAACUUAUCAAAGAAGUUUAAAGAAGAGUUAAAAUUCAUCAGUGCAAAAGUACUUGAGCAAACAAGAGGGAAGGCUUCAAUCUUUGCUCACUACCAGGAUGCCAAAGAUGAGUCCCUGACUGAAAAUGCACAAGAUAUUGAUCUACGUGCAACUGCCAGAGAAGAUCAAUCAUUUCAUUACUCUUGGAGAGCAAGACCCAAAGCAUCCGUAUCCUAGUAUUCAGCUGCUGGAAGGAGACUGGAAAAAGGCGUUCGCCACCAGAGUCCCAACCGUGGUAAAAGUGGACAGCGUUGAGGUGUGCCGUUGUUCAGGCAUUGAAGAUGGAGUCAUCUCUGCAUUCUGCACAUACUUCAUUUUCAACAUUCAGUAUCCACACUGCCUCAAGAACACUUUGAAUUUCCUUCAAAGAUACAUUGCAAAAAUAUCACUGGAGGGGGACCAACCUUUGCCAAUUACUGUGAGCCGCAAAAUAAAUCUACUUUAUUGAUGCCACAGCCAUACCAUUGUCCAAAAUGCUCCCGCAGAGUAUUCACAAUAACUAAAUUAAUCCAGCACAUUGGACUAAUCCAUGCCCAUGAGCCCAACUUCCAAAUUUCGUGUGGGAUUAAUAACUGUUGUUCCUCUUUCAAAAUAUUUGAAUCUUUUCGACGGCACGUGUAUCGCAAGCAUUUUAAUAGUAAUCCUGUAAAUGACUGUGCUGAGGAAGACUUUGCUGAAAGUGACUCUGAGAGGGACACUGAGAUGUCAUUAGUUGAAGAUUUAAAUGAACGUUUGACAUCCAUUGCUGCACCUUCUAUUGAUGAACUUUUAAAAGAUUUUAAAAAUAAUUUGUUCAAUUUCAUUUUAAAGUGUCGAGAAAAAAAUCUCCUUCCUGUUUCCGUUCAAAAGGAGAUUGUUGAGGAUGUUAACUUCCUAUUUUGUUUUUUCAAGGAGAACUAUGAUGCUUUUAUAACCUAUCAUUUGGAAAAAAAACGGUUUCAAUAUUUCUGAAAUUCCGGAGUUGGCUAAUGUGAUCCAGUCAGAUGAUUUUUUCAAAGGAGCAACAGCGGCAAUCCAGUCCCCGUAUUGCAUUACUGAAC